AUCACGUACGAUCAUCGAAGUUAAGCAAUGUCGAGCCUGGUCAGUACCUAGAUGGAUGACUGCUUGGGAAUACCAGAUGCCGUAAG
Molecule: non-coding RNA, 86 nt
Organism: Acanthosepion pharaonis
Lineage: Eukaryota; Metazoa; Mollusca; Cephalopoda; Sepiida; Sepiidae
Source: the annotation of a GenBank genome assembly